RNAcentral lists this ribosomal RNA (449 nucleotides) under uncultured bacterium. Its description in RNAcentral is "partial 16S ribosomal RNA". It matches the Rfam family "Bacterial small subunit ribosomal RNA", at positions 29 to 523 of the family's 1533-position model. The record is from RNAcentral.
AACGAACGCUGGCGGCAUGCCUAACACAUGCAAGUCGAACGAGACCUUCGGGUCUAGUGGCGCACGGGUGCGUAACGCGUGGGAAUCUGCCCUUGGGUUCGGAAUAACAGUUAGAAAUGACUGCUAAUACCGGAUGAUGACGUAAGUCCAAAGAUUUAUCACCCAAGGAUGAGCCCGCGUAGGAUUAGCUAGUUGGUAAGGUAAAGGCUUACCAAGGCGACGAUCCUUAGCUGGUCUGAGAGGAUGAUCAGCCACACUGGGACUGAGACACGGCCCAGACUCCUACGGGAGGCAGCAGUGGGGAAUAUUGGACAAUGGGCGAAAGCCUGAUCCAGCAAUGCCGCGUGAGUGAUGAAGGCCUUAGGGUUGUAAAGCUCUUUUACCAGGGAUGAUAAUGACAGUACCUGGAGAAUAAGCUCCGGCUAACUCCGUGCCAGCAGCCGCGGUAA